CAAUAGCGUAUAUUAAAGUUGUUGCAGUUAAAAAGCUCGUAGUCGGACUUCUGGCCGUGAGCGCGGGUCCGCCGCAAGGUGUGCACUCGCGUUGGCGGCCAUCCUCUCGAGGAGGCGGCGUGCUCUUUAUUGAGUGUGUCGUCGACUCGGGACCUUUACUUUGAAAAAAUUAGAGUGUUCAAAGCAGGCCUUCGCUUGAAUACAUUAGCAUGGAAUAAUGGAAUAGGACUUUGGUUCUAUUUUGUUGGUUUCUAGGACCGAAGUAAUGAUUAAUAGGGAUAGUUGGGGGCAUUAGUAUUUAAUUGUCAGAGGUGAAAUUCUUGGAUUUAUGAAAGACUAACAUCUGCGAAAGCAUUUGCCAAGGAUGUUUUCAUUGA
This 377-nucleotide ribosomal RNA is filed under the name uncultured eukaryote. Its description in RNAcentral is "partial 18S ribosomal RNA". It matches the Rfam family "Eukaryotic small subunit ribosomal RNA", at positions 592 to 976 of the family's 1831-position model. The record is from RNAcentral.